Molecule: long non-coding RNA, 544 nt
Filed under: Nicotiana benthamiana
Lineage: Eukaryota; Viridiplantae; Streptophyta; Magnoliopsida; Solanales; Solanaceae
Description: long non-coding RNA (NBEN_LNC007341)
Source: RNAcentral
AGCACUCUGCCCCAUACAACAUUGCAGGUCUAACCACAGCUCUAUAAAAUUUCCCCUUGAGUUUCUGUGGGACUUUCUUGCCACACAGGACUCCUGAUGCAAGCCUCCACUUUGACCACCCCGCUCCUAUGCGAUGAGUGACGUCUCCGUCAAUCUCUCCGUUCCCCUGGAUCACUGACCCAAGAUAUCUGACACUGUCCCUCUUGGCGAUUACCUGAGAUCCAAUCAUCACGUCCCUGCCUACUUAGCUCAGCUCGGCGCUAAUCUUGCACUCCCAGGUAUUUUGUCUUAGAUCUGCUUAUUUUGAAACCCUUAGAGUUGAGAGUCUGUCUCUAUACCUCUAACCUCUCAUUAACACCGGCCUUCGUCUCGUCUAUCAAGACUAUGUCAUCAGCAAAUAGCAUACACCAAGGCACAUUCCCUUUGAAUAUGUCGGGUAAGAGCAUCCAUCACCAAGGCAAACAAGAGAGGGCUAAGCGCCGAUCCUUGAUAGAGCCCCAUAACCACUAGAAAAUGGUCUGAGUCGCCACCCACCGUCCUAACC